RNAcentral lists this long non-coding RNA (20211 nucleotides) under Ananas comosus (pineapple). Its description in RNAcentral is "long non-coding RNA (ACOM_LNC006207)". Lineage: Eukaryota; Viridiplantae; Streptophyta; Magnoliopsida; Poales; Bromeliaceae. The record is from RNAcentral.
AGCUAGGUGUUUGACACGUACCCCCAUUUGGGUCUAAUCCGUCCACGUUCAAUGUUUGGAAUCUAGAAUUUUACCUUGGAGGAGGGUGACCGAUUUUCUAAAUAUAUAGGGGAUCAAAUAUAAAAAAGUAAAAAAGAAAAAAAAGAAAUUGCAUAUAGAACAUUACAAUGGCUAUAUAUAUAGAAAGGCAUAAAAUUACAUCACUAAUUUAUUAGCCCGUUGUAUAAGUUUACUUUUGCAAUAGAGACUGAUGAGUCGUUCGGAGUUUAAACCUAAACAUUAACCGUUUGGUUCGGGGUUAAUAAAAAACUAGUUAUUCCAGGAAUAGGGUAAAGUUCAGGGUUAAGGUGGGGUUAGAGUAUAUUUUGUGUUUAGUUGGGGAUUGGAGUUAGUCCAGGAUUAAGAAAAAUAAUGUUUGGUUGGAGUAGGUGGGAUAAGAAGGAUAGUGGGUAAAAUAUUAUUUUGUUUGGUUUGAAUAGUGGGGUGGGGUGGGGUUAGCUAACUCCACCCCAAAUGGGCUAUCUCAGAAUAGCCCAUUUGGGGUGGGGUUUGCUAACCCCGGUUGGAGUAGUGGGGUGGGGUAGGGUUAGCUAACCCCACCCCUUAUUUGAUGUGUUUGGGAAUAAGUUGGGGGUUAAGGGGUUAUUCCACCCUUUAACCCCCAACCAAACACUAGCGUAAACAAAAUUUAUUUAAAUCCCGAUAUUGCAUCCCAAGUCAUAAAUUUGUUAGCCUCAUUUGUAUGGUUGUAAUGGAGUAAUAGGUUGCUUUCGAGUUUCUUGUUUCCACAAAGCAUAUAAAUGAGAGGUCAUUUUGCAUUUACUCUUUAAAGCUCUGAGCUCACCACAUCUGGUUAGUCACACGAGUGCACCAAUAAAAAUAUCUACAAACAAACAUUAGUAGCCAUGAGUAAUGUUAGAUAUUUUGAUUAUCGAGUUCAAUUUUGUAUCAUAAUUUAUUAAAAAUUUUAUGGUAUGAUAAAUUUUAAAAAUAAUUUGUGAAAGAAAAAAGAGAUGUUUGUGAUGAAAGCGGAGGGCUCAAAUUGAUAGCCCCGAGAGAUUUUGAAGACAUCCGUUAAGAUUUUUUUUUUCUUCUUUUUGUCCUAUAAACAAUAUAGUGCAUUGUGGUUUUCACAAUAUUGUACUUCAUACAGUGAAGUUAGAUCUCUCAUCUUUCGUUCGUGGUUAUUUUCUGUAAAAAUUUUUUUGCGAAAAUCCUUGUGUUCUAUUUUUUUUUUUUUUUAUUUUGUGAUUUGUCUAUAUUGUGAUCACCGUUUUUCGUUUUUGAUUGUGCGCUCGUCGUAAUUAACUAAAGAAUUUGGCUUCUUUUCAUGAUACUCCAAAGAUGAUACAACAAUGGUUAAAUAACCAUUUACAUACAUGCCCUAAUAAAUCAGGGCCUAAUCUAAGCCUUAAUUUUAGGAAGACAAUCAUGUGAUUAAUUGUCUAAGAAUGAAAAAAUUCCUAAGAAAGAAAGUAAAAGAUGGAAAUAAAUAAAAUUACAAAUCAUAUUUCCAAUCUAAAUGUUAAUACUCCCCCUCAAGUUGGCGCAUGAACAUCAGUGAUGCCCAACUUGCCAAGCAAAAAAUGAAACUGCUGUCGUCCCAGUGCUUUAGUAAAAAUAUCGGCAAGUUGGAGAUAACUGGGCACAUGAAAGGUUUCAUUAUCAUGCGAUUGAAGCCGUUCGCGAAUAAAAUGACAAUCAAUUUCGAUAUGUUUAAUACACUCAUGGAAAACGGGAUUAGCCGCAAUGUGAAGCGCCGCUUGGUUAUCACAAAACAGCCUCAUUGGUUUGGGAUGAUCAACUCCAACAGAACAAAGCAAAUUUCGAAGCCAAAUUAGCUCACAAGUAGCAACAGCCAUGGAUCGAUAUUCAGCUUCUACAGAUGAACGUGAAACUGUUGUUUGCUUCUUAGCUUUCCAAGAAAUAGGUGAAGAACCUAGCAUGACAAAAUAACCUGUAAGGGAGCGACGUGUUAUAGGGCAACUUGCCCAAUCUGUAUCACAGUAAGCCCGCAAUUGUAGAUCAUUUGAAGCCGAAAGAAAGAUGCCUUGUCCGGGACAAGACUUUAAAUAAUGUAGAAUUCUCAUCGCUGCAUCUAAAUGUCCUUGGCAUGGCUUUUGCAUAAAUUGACUGAGGAUAUGCACCGAAUAUGUAAUUUCUGGUCAAGUGAUAGUGAGAUAUAUAUAUGCCUUCCAAUGAGACGUCUAUAUUGUGCAGGAUUAUCAACUGGUGAUCCUGAAUUUUGAGAAAGUUGGUGUUGUUGUUCCAUUGGAAAGUAUGCAGGCUUGGCUCCAAGCAUUCUACAUUCAGCUAGAAUAUCCAAGGUAUAUUUUCUUUGACAUAAAAAUAUAUCCGAAGGAGAAUGAACUACCUCCACACCAAGAAAGUAUUUCAAAAUACCAAGAUCCUUGAUAUGAAAGCAAGUAUCAAGGUACUGUUUAAGCAAUAGACACUCUUUGGAAUUAUUUCCUACAAUGAUCAAGUCGUCGACGUACACAAGGACAGCCAAAAAUGCAUCUCCUUUAUUGAAUGUAAAAAGCGAAUAAUCCACCUUAGAUUGAAGAAAACCAUCCUUUUAAGGGCAUCAGAAAAUUUAGCAAACCAAUUUCUUGAGGCUUGUCGUAAUCCAUAAAGAGAUUUACGUAAACGACAAACCCUUCUAUCCUGAUUUUUGGAGAUACCUGGUGGAAGAGACAUGUAUACUUCUUCAUCUAAAUCACCAUGUAGAAAAGCAUUAUUCACAUCAAGUUGGUGGAGUUCCCACUUCUUUGCGACUACUACAGCAAGUAGACAACGAACAGUUACAAGUUUAGCAACUGGAGCAUAUGUUUCAUGAAAAUCUAAUCCCUCAAUUUGUGUGUAACCCUUGGCCACGAGGCGUGCUUUGUAGCGUUCUAUACUGCCGUCAGCCCGAUAUUUGAUUUUAUAAACCCAUUUGCAUCCAAUAGGUUUCUUAUUAGGGGGAAGAUGCUCUAAAGUCCAUAUUUGAUUUGUUUCAAGUGCUUGAAUUUCCUUCGCCAUAGAAUCAUGCCACUUCGGAUCAUUUAUUGCCUGGGAAAAAGACUUUGGCUCAUCCAAGUUUGUGGUGGCCGCUAGGAAAGCUCGAUGUUUAGGUGAGAAGCGAUCAUCGAAAAUAAAAUGCGAAAGAGUAUGUGACGUACCGGAAGAAGCAUCUUGAAGUGAUGAGUGAGAGUUAGAGUUUCCAAGAGCAGAGUGGCAUAUAUAAUCUGUUAAAUAAGUUGGUCGUUUGUGUGUUCUUUGUGGUCGAGAAAAUGUAGGAUGCAUUUCAGGCAUAGGUUCUAUAUCAGUUUCUCUUUCCGAAUUGGUUGAUUGAGAAUUACUAAUGUCAGAAAUGACAUCAGAAUUCUCCUUUUGGGGUAUCAAGGGAGCUGCAGGAUUAGUAUCAAUGGGUUGGUUAGAUUGUUUUAUUGAUAAAGGUGGAACUAUUUGAGCUUCAGUAUAAUCUUGAAUGCGUUGUGGAAUCACAGGUUCAUGAUGGUUAUGUUGCAUGGCAUCAAGAAUGCUCGAACUGGCAAAAGGAAAUUGCUCUUCGUAAAAUAUCACAUCACGAGAAACAAAAAUAUGUUUAGUGGCUAAAUCAUAAACUUUCUAACCCUUUUCCCAUAAGGAUAUCCUACAAAGAUGCAUCUAGCUGCCCGUGGAUCAAAUUUAUCAUGUAUUUUGUAAUGGAGAUGAGCAUAACAUAAGCACCCAAAGACACAAAAAUGUUCAUAUGAUGGUGCUUUAGAAAAUAAAAUUUCAAAUGGAGACUUUCCUGAAAGAAGUGGAGUCGGAGUGUAGUUUAUCAAAUAUGCAGCAGUUAACACACGUUCACCCAAAAAAUCAAUAGGAAGGUGAGCUUGGAAACGUAAAGCUCGCGCAACAUUAAGGACAUGACGAUGCUUUCGCUCUACUCUUCCAUUUUGUUGGGGUGUAUGAACACAAGAAGUUUGAUAUAUGAUGCCAUUUUGAUGGAAAAAUUUUUGCAUGAGAUUAGAAGUGAAUUCCGAUCCAUUGUCAUUCCUAACUUGUUGCACUUGACAUUGAAAUUGUGUUUUAACCAUAGCACAAAACGAGGUCAAGUAAUGAUAAGCCUCAGAUUUUUGUUGCAUCAAAUAUACCCAUGUGGCACGACUAAAAUCAUCUACUAUAGUGAGAAAGUAAUGGACUCCAGAAUUUGAACGUGUAUGAUAACGACCCCAUAUAUCACAAUGUAUAAGAGCAAAACAACAACUAGUUUUAUUAUUACUUAAAGGAAAUGAUGCACGAGUUUGUUUGGCACGAUGACAAACAUCACAACCAGCAGAAUAAUUAUUUGUAGAAAAAAAGAUUUCAGGAAUAAAAGAUAAACUGCGAUGUGAAGCAUAUCCGAGCCUUUGAUGCCAUACUAGGUUAUUGUUAGGUUGAAUGACAGGUGCUGCAAUUGGGAUAGCCGACUGUUUGAAGUAGUAUACUCCAUCUCUCAUUUCACCCACUCCAAUCAGCUUCUUCUUGGUGAGGUCCUGAAUAGCACAAAAUGUUGGAAAGAAAGUCACAACACAAUUCAAAUCAGUGGUAAGUUUUUGGACAGAAAUCAAAUUGCAUUUAAAAUUUGGCACAUAUAGAACAUUAUUCAGAACAAUAUUUUGGCUUAAUGGAAUGCAACCAAUUUUUGAAAUAGGCAUAUAGGUUCCAUUUGGCAAACGAACAGGUGGUUUGUUAUAGGCUAUUUUAGAUUGAGCCAAAGCUCGCUCACUAGCAGUCAUAUGAUCCGAAGCUCCACUAGCAAUUAUCCACUCAGCUUCACAAAAAUUUUGAAAGACCUUACCAGAAAAAGACUCUUGCAUGCGUGAUUUUUCAGUACUUAAUAAAAUUAGGAGCUGAUCAUAUUGUUCUCUGUUCAAUCCUGCAAGAGGCGAGGCAUCCACUUUGGUAGCUUGAGAACUAUUUGCAGAUGUGUAUGGAACUCUGCUUGAUUGCUCAGUUUGCAUAUUGCUGAAUGUUUAGGAAAAGAUUGCAUUAGAUGCUGGUACAAAUAUUCUUGAUCGUCUAUUUGACCAGUUUGGUGGAUAUCCAACGAGUUCAUAACAUCUUGACUUGUUGUGGCCCAAUUUCUUGUAAUGAUCACAUCUUUCUUUGAAGCGAUUAGAAUCUCUUUGAUUUGUCUUGACCACAUUGCUAACAUAUAAGGCCGCAGCUUCGACUUUGGGGCCUCGACUAGGAAAUAGAGAUUGUUGUUUUUCUUCUCUUACAACAAACACAUAUACUUUACUCAGAUUUGGCAUAGGAUCAAUGCUUAAAAUCUGAAAUCGUAUAGUAUUGUAUGCAUCACCUAGGCCCAUGAGGAAUUGGUGGACCUUUUCUUUCUCGCGCUCUUGCACGAAUUCUUUGGCUGCCCCGCAAGAGCAUUUGGGAACAGUUGAAUACAUGCUUAAUUCAUCCCACAAGGCCUUCAUCUCUGUGAAGUAUGUGGCAAUACUUAAUCCAUUCUGUUGAAGCGAACUAAGAUCACGUUUGAUUUGAUGGACUCGAGGAGGAAUUACUUUGUGAGAAGCGUUCUUCUAGAUCAAUCUACAUCUCCCUUGCUGUUUCAAGAUAUGCAACACUAUCAUGCAAUUCCUUGGCUAGAGAAUUAAAAAGCCAAGAAAUGAUCAUAGAGAUACAUUUCUCCCAGGCAUGAACAUCUGGUGAAGUCACCUCUGGUUUCAUUAUGGUUCCAUCAACAAAACCAUAUUUGUUUUUAGCACGUAGGGCAUUAGUCAUUGUUCUAGCCCAGGUUGCAUAAUUAUCUCCAUUGAGCAGGCAUAACACCAAAGUAUUUUCAGGACUAUCAGAAGGAUUGAGAAAGAAAGGCGAAGAGGAAUCAAAAAGUAACUUGAGCAUGCAUUGGUGUUAUCAGAUUCCUCUCCCAUGGAGAUAGGUUAUAAGGAAAUAGAAUAGGAGGUUAAUGGUUCAAGACUUUUUAUUUGGCUCUGAUACCAUAAAGAAUUUGGCUUCUUUUCAUGAUACUCCAAAGAUGAUACAACAAUGGUUAAAUAACCAUUUACAUACAUGCCCUUAAUAAAUCAGGGCCUAAUCUAAGCCUUAAUUUUAGGAAGACAAUUAUGUGAUUGAUUGUCUAAAAAUGAAAAAAUUCCUAAGAAAGAAAGUAAAAGAUGGAAAUAAAUAAAAUUACAAAUUAUAUUUCCAAUCUAAAUGUUAAUAGUAACAAAUAAUAUUUAAAUUUAAUGAGCUUAUUCGUCAACACUAAAAUCAGUUUUGUUAGUAUUAUCAUCCCUUGAUUUAUAAGAUGCUUUCUUAUACAGUGAUUUGCCCUUGUAAAAUAUUUCUAAAAGUAGAGUUUAUCUGAUUUGAAAGUUCCUUGCCGUAUGAUUAGUAGACUCAAACAUAGUCUCCUUUUUCUAUAUAUGAAGUGAGUUCUCUGCUUUUAAAGUCACUUCGGAAAAAAAAAGAAAAAAAAAGAAAAAAAAAAGAACAAUAAUUAAUAAUCACCUUACAAGUUCUGUCAUGGCGAAGCAAAAAAUGCCCAACUGCCCACGUGGUGGUCCCCACAAUAACGGCCGUAUACCCCCAAACUAUCAUAAAUAAAAGGAAGUUAACCACCGAAAAAGCUCUUGAAAAGAAAAAAGUUUUGAAUUCUAGUUGAUUCAUAUUUCCAGUUAAGUUUAUUUUUAAAUAAAAUAAACGAAGCAGUAGCGUGCUAUCUAUCUUUCUCAAAAAAAAAAAAAAAAAGCAAAAACAAAAAAAAAACCACUCACACCCUCCAACUAAAAAGUAUUAAAUUACAAACAAUAAUACAAUAUAUACAAGCACGGCAAUAAUAUGGAGAAGCUACAAUUAAAACAGAGGCAAGUGACGCGAAAAUUAUGUUUCAGUGUGGCGUCAUCGCACGAUGGUGUGGUGACGUCCACGGUGUUUUGUCAAACAGUGCUGCGCCCCCUGAACUUAAAAUACUCUGUGCCCCGGCACUCCGUCUUCCACCAAUUUUCUACCGCACCUUCUCGGGCCCCUUUCUCUCUAUCUAUCUCACUCACAUCCCUUCCUAUCCUUAUAUUUCUCUCUUUCUCCUACUCUCUAUAAUAUAAUGGCGAAUCAACUGCUCUCGACGGCUCCUCGCCGCGAGACCCUCCCGGAGAGCUACGUCCGGCCCGAAUCGCAGCGCCCGCGGCUCUCCGAAGUUGUGACGGACGCCGACAUCCCGGUGAUCGACCUCGGCUGCCCCGACAAGCCCCAAACCAUCUCCCGAAUCGCCCACGCCUGCAGAUCCUACGGCUUCUUCCAGGUCCCUCUUUUUUCUUUUUUCUUUUUUCUUUUUUUUUUUUUUNCGAUUGAUUGCCUAGUUUUGUUUCGAUCACGGCCGAAUCGGCCGCUUGCGCAUUUUGCAGGUGGUGAGUCACGGGAUAUCGCCCGAGUUGAUGCUGCAGGUUAUGGCCAUGGCGCUCGAGUUCUUCCGCCUGCCCGCGGAGGAGAAGGCGAAGCUCUACUCCGACGACCCCGCGAAGAAGAUGCGGCUCUCCACGAGCUUCAACGUGCGCAAGGAGACGGUCCACAAUUGGCGCGACUAUCUCCGCCUUCAUUGCUAUCCUCUCCAAGAGUUCGUCCCCGAUUGGCCCUCUAAUCCCCCCUUGUUCAAGUAAGGAAGUUUGAGCCGCCCCUGUUUCAGGACAUAGUUUCAAAACUUUGUUUCUUAUUGAUUGAUCGUGAACUAGUUAAUAGCUUGCCUAAGCUACUAGGUAUUAGGUGUCUAGCUAGAGAGGAAGUCUACUGUACUUUGUCACACUUACAUCGCGUCAUUAAUAACCAGCGGCGUUAUUAAUAACCAGCGAAUCUUAUCUUUUUCUAAUAAAAAUAUAAUAAAAAUAUCUCUUUAUUAAUCACGACGGACAGAUGAAUUCAAAAAAAAUAACCUUAUUGGUUGGAAACGGGAGGUCAGCAACAUAACUUGUACUUCCUAGCUAGGAAGGAAAAAUCUUUCGGUGUGGGGUCUCACACAGCGACUCUUUAUGCGGCGAUCUGCGACCGCACACUAAUAUCUACAUCCAUCGAAGGUUAGUGCUCAGUGCUCCCCCUCCGACAUCCGGUGAGGACGACCGGGAGGGAGUGGCACGCGCAACAGGUGUUCGGUCGAGCUUGCUCCGAAGCUCGAAUGCGCUAGUUUGCGGUGUCGGUGUACGGAUUUUUUUGUGUGUGUAAGAGAAGGACACCUAUUCUUAAGUUCCUAGCACUUACCGACCUAACCUACUGCUUUGGAAGGAGUGUUAGCAUCCAUUAACACAAUGACUUUGUCAUGGCGAGGCCAUGAAAAAGUUCUUUGGAAUCUAGAGCGAUGCUUUGUUACAAAAUUUCUUAGAAGAGGAAUUUAGUUUGUUUAAUCAUAUUCAGAGUGUAAAGGUAACGUGGCCUUCAAUUUGUCUUUUAUUAAGAAUCUUUUGAAAUUAGGAAUCUUCCACAUGUUGUGAAAUGGUCCUAGUACUCUUUUUAGUGAGGGAUCUUACCUACUUGGCCUUGUACCUUCGUAAGGUGAAAAUAUAGUGGUUUUAAAACAAAAGCCACGCAAAAAAGAAGUUAAGGAAAAUUGUAAAAAGAAGAAGCAAUCGCUCAUUAAUCGUGAUCAUUAUUGUUGCGUUUGUUUUUGGUCGGUAUUAUAGGGUCAAGCAAUAUUUGCCAUCAUCAUUUAUAAUUUCCGUAACAACACUAUCUACAAUCACAGCAAAGUGGCUGGCACAGAGGAAUAUACCAGGCAUGUGAGUGCACAUGCCUAGAGGACUAGUACAAAAGAGGGGCAAUUUCGGCCUUAACAAAUUCUAAGCAUGUACACUUCGUCAUCUCUCCUGUCCUUAUCUCUGUCAUGCACGUGCAGUAGGGUGUUAAGAUUGCUUCUUAAAUAUUUACUGCUGGUGGCCUUACGUAAAGUCUUACAUAAAGUACGUAACAAACUAAUCCUGUGUUUUCUCGGUCUGCACCAGGGAAAUAAUGAGCACCUACUGUAGGGAGGUUCGUCGGUUAGGGUUUCGGCUCCUCGGAUUCAUAUCUUUGAGCCUAGGUUUAGAGGAGGACUAUAUUGAAAAGGUGUUGGGCGAGCAAGAACAACACAUGGCUGUGAACUACUACCCGGAGUGUCCCCAGCCGGAGCUCACUUACGGUUUACCGGCCCACACAGACCCGAAUGCGCUCACAAUCCUUCUGCAAGAUCAACAAGUGGCUGGUUUGCAGGUAUUGAAGGACGGAAAAUGGAUCGCGGUCAAUCCCCAGCCCAAUGCUCUGGUCAUCAAUUUGGGAGACCAACUACAGGUGAAGUAGAGUUGCUUUCGCUUGAUAUUCGCAAACCCGUAUCAAAUUGGCUGGUUUGUCGAUUAACAACUGAUACAUUAAGAUAAGAGUUUUGAGAGAGCGACUUGGUGAUAAUGUAGGCACUUAGCAACGGUCGAUACAAGAGCGUCUGGCACCGGGCGGUGGUCAAUUCGGUCCAUGAGCGGAUGUCCGUAGCAUCCUUUUUGUGCCCGUGCAACUGUGCACUCAUCCGCCCUGCAGAGAAUCUCACCGCUGACGGAUCCAACGCCAUAUACCGGAGCUACACAUACGACGAGUACUACAAGAAAUUCUGGAGCAGGAACUUGGAUCAGGAGCACUGUUUAGAGCUUUUCAGAAGCUGAAGGUUCAUUUGGAUUGACGCAAUUGCAAUUCGGCUGUAAGUCAUGUCUAGCGGGAUUAGAAGUAUUAAGUUCUGUUGUAGAUCACGACGAUACCAAAAAAGUAGACUUCAAUUCUUUUUCCAGUGAAGCUGUUUUUGAGGAAUUGAAUCAACCAGUAGACCAAAGAUAUCUUUUGUGUUGUUAGGUCAAGCGCAGGAAGUAAUAUAUCUAUUCUCACUUCAUAUGAUUUACGGCCAAAUUGCAAGCGCGCCGAUCCAAAUGCUCCAAACCCUCCCUAAGUUGCGCUCCUUCAUGUCGUCCACAUAAACAGCUUUUUGGGACGGCUCUGGUUGUCCACCAUGCAAAAAAGAAGGAAUUGGUGGCUUCUGGGGACUCGGGGGCCCUUCGUCCAUUUUUCAGUUUAGUGCAUCACUAUGCCGUUGGAAUGUUUCUUCAGGAUUAUUAUUGAUAAGUCAGUUUUAUUAACGUCACAAUUAGUGAGUGUCUUAGCUUUUCGAAGGCGUUGCCCAUACUAAUUAUCGGUACAAAAAGCUAAGUCACUGACUAAUAAUAAGAUGUGUAAAGUUGACCGAUCAAUAAUAUUUUAAAGUAUACUAUUAGGUAUGUGUACCACUUUUUUUUUUUUCUUUCUAAUUUUUUUAAGCAUGUUGCUUUUCCUUUUUGGAGCACUCAAAUUGCUCCGCAUCAGGGAGGAAAGAUUCGCCUCUUAGGUGUCCAAUGGAAACAAGUGGUGGUGUCGCAGUGAUGUCUCCGUUUGUAUUUAGCAGAAAGCGUUUGUAUUUAGUAGAAAGCAUUCUGGCACGGCUUCAGUGCUUGUACCAUUAAUGUAUACUAUCUUGUACGCAUGUUGUACUGCUUUAUUGAUGAUCUAAUGUUUUGGUCACUGGGGCAUUUAAAUUGCGUUAUGACCUAAUGAGUUGCUCAGAUUGCUUUUUAGUGGACUUCGCACGUAUAAUAUUAUGUCUUAGACAAAGAGCGCACCAAAUGAAUUGGGUCCAAAAGCACAGAUUUAAGUGCGGUGCUAUGAGAUUGUACCUAAAACUUACAGACACGUGUCGGAUCAGUGUUGGUAAAAAAAUAUAUAUGUGCCGAUAAAUAAUAAUAUAAAAUAUUUAUUUUUUAAAAAAAUCAAGUUUUCUAAUUACUUUAUUAUAUAUUUUUAUCAAAUCUUAUAAAUUUUAUUGAGAAAAUUAUUUAUUAAUUUAAAACGAAUUUGAAAUAUACAGUGCCGGUAUUUUAUUGAUACGAGAUGGUACGGUAAAUAUUGUCAGCACCGAUGAACACUUAAAUCCUUAUCGAAAAGACUUAAUAUGAUGGUUUAUUGUUAUUAACUCUAAAACUAAGUCAAAUUAUGCUCCAAUUAGUCAUAGAUCGAAUCAAAAUGGUUGAAUUUGCUCAUAUUUUAGAUUCCUUCCCAAUAUCCAAUCCAGAAAUAGUCAUCUACUUAACACAACAAACCAGUAUGGGCCUGUUUUGCCUAACUUCUAAAAAAGUGAUUUCUGCAUAAAUGAUUUUGGUUUGAAAAAUUGAUCUUGGUGAAAAGCUAUAGAGCGGUUGACAGAGUUUAGGUAAAAGUGAUUUUUCUGAAGUGAUUUUUUAAAACUGUUCGGCAAAAAAAAUUUUAAUGCUUGCAUAAAUUAAUAUUUUUACUAAAUUUUAUUUUAAAAUAAUUUAANAAAUUUGAAAUAUACAGUGCCAGUAUUUUAUUGAUACGAGAUGGUACGGUAAAUAUAGUCCGCACCGAUGAACACUUAAAUCUUAAUAUGAUGGUUUAUUGUUAUUAACUCUAAAACUAAGUCAAAUUAUGCUCCAAUUAGUCAUAGAUCGAAUCAAAAUGGUUGAAUUUGCUCAUAUUUUAGAUUCCUUCCCAAUAUCCAAUCCAGAAAUAGUCGUCUACUUAACACAACAAACCAGUAUGGGCCUGUUUUGCCUAACUUCUAAAAAAGUGAUUUCUGCAUAAAUGAUUUUGGUUUGAAAAAUUGAUCUUGGUGAAAAGCUAUAGAGCGGUUGACAGAGUUUAGGUAAAAGUGAUUUUCUAAAACUGUUUGGCAAAAAAAAUUUUAAUGCUUGCAUAAAUUAAUAUUUUUACUAAAUUUUAUUUUAAAAUAAUUUAAAAUUUAAAUUUAAAUAAAAAAUUUAAAUUUGAAUUAAAAGUAUAAUUUUUAAAUUUCAAAUUUGUACAAAAAAUAAAUUUGAAAUUUCAAAAUUUUAUAUUUAAAAUUUGAAUUUUUAAAUCUAAAUUUAACUUUUCAAUAUGAAUUUAAAUUUUGAAUUUCAAAUUUAAAAUCUAAAUUUCAAAUUUCAAAUUUCAAAUUUUAAAUUUCAAAUUUAAGAUUUGAAAUUUGAAAAAAUUUAAGUUUUAAAAUCUGAAAUGUCAAAAUUUAAAUUUUAUCUUAAAUUUAAAAUUUAAAAUUUUGAAUUUUAAACUUUAAAAUUUGAGAUUUGAAACUUAAAUUUAAAAUGUAAAUUUUAAAAGUUGAGAUUUAAAAAUUCAAAUAUAAAUUUAAAAUUUCACAAUUUAAAUUUAAUGUUAAAUUUAUACUUUGAAUCUAAAGUAAAAAAAUAAAAAUUUAAAGUUUGAGUCCAAAAUCAAAAUCAGUUUUGGAGAAAUAGCUUUUUUCUAUUUCUGAUUCCCGGACCUUCAAAAUCAGUUUUCUGAUUCUGAAAAGCUGAAUCAGAUUUUUUAUCUGCCAUUUCCAAAUACUCUAUUGAGCUCAAAAAUAAUUUUAGAUUCAGAAUCACUUAUGAGAAGUUGGGUGAAACACCCCUAUGUCUUUGUUCAAUUCCUUGGAAACUUUGCUCCCAAUCAAACAAAAUCCAGAAAAGAUAUGAUUACAUCACCGACAACAGUGUCGUCUACCCGAUAACUUUUUAUUUUCGGCCGACCAACCCAAUGGAGCCGCACCUUUUUGUGUAGCUCUUUUCUGCCUGUUACAUUGCACCGACUAUUGGAAUUAGGCUCUUCGGUUCAUGGCAAGGGCCAAUACUUUACCGCCUUUAAAUUUGGAUCCACUCAAACACAGUAGACCCUGUCCCCAUUAACACGCUUAUCUCCACCGCCUUUGAAUUUGCUGGACCACUCGGAGCGAAGAUCUCAUCCCUACUGUAGCAAUUGCAGCGUAUUUUACCUUUUUUUUUUUGGGUGUGGGGGGGGGGGGAGGAAUUGAAAAGUAUUCGAUGAAAAAAAAAAUACAGUGAUUACUGUAAUAAAAAGUAUAGAUGUAGUUCUGAGCCGCAGAAAUGAAAUCUCUAAUUUGUUGUUCACGGCCUGAGCAAUAAGUUUGUUCCGACCACCGUGAAAACACAACUAGCGUAAGUUAAAUCUCGAGAAAAUCCUAAACCCUAAACCUUAACCCUGAAUCAGAAUUUUUCUAACGAAAGUUCUGCUAAUUUGACAAAAACAUAGAAUACCACUCAGAUCAAUAAAAGAACAAAAAGGAGCAAAGUAAAAGAAGCAUAAAGUAGAACAAAAGGUAGAAAUCGCCGGAAAGAAUAAGAAAUGGAGACACACGCACGCAGGCACGCACACACCAACUAUAUUUAAUUGUGCAGAUUAUUAAUUUAGAAUCUUUACUUUCUGAUCUGUAUUUAGUAGUUUUUGGGGAUCAAUUUUCUUAGGAGAAGACUCCUAAAGGAUACAAAGAAACUUCCGGAAUGAUGCGCGGGUGAAAGAACUAGGCCUGGGCCCAACGACAUUUUCGGAUAUGGCACAUUAAAGUGGAAUCUAGGCCCAGAUUCACCCAACAAGACGGGCUCUGUAGCCUAAGAUCCGACCCAGGCCUAUCAUCAGCCUUAUCACUCCCGAAUAAUUCUCCACAAGGUCUACUCAAAUUUGCUCUGCAUGAGUUGUUCUAAUUUGUCCAAUAAGAUUCACACCGACAAACCAUCCCUAGCGCAAGUAGCAAAAAGCUUGGUGAUUGGUAUCCGAAGUCCUAAGUUCGAAUCCUAGUUGAUUCAUAUUUCUACAGCUAAGUUUAUUUCUAAAAUUAAAUAAACGAAGUGGAUAGCAUGCUAUCUAUCCCACAGUAUAGUUACUGAAAUAGAGAUAGAAAAGGUCGUAAUAAACUUCAAUCAAGCAAUCAACAUUCUGUACUAAUUUUAUGCUUUUCCUAUGUACUGUUGAUGAUUCCUUUUAUGCAUGAGGGUGCUAAAAUAGGGAAAAUGGGAGGUGUAUUUAAUCUUUUUUCUCCCACAGUUUUGCUUUCUUUUAUAGUAUUUUUGUGGAAUUUGCACGUUUAGUUUUCUAGACUUGCUUAUUAAAACUAAACUUGCUUAUUUGUGAAUCUGUUUCAUGCGGCUUGGCAAGGAAAUUUUGAAUCAUGGAUACAGGAUCCUUUACGUGUAAGAUCAAUUGCUCAUGCAAUUUGGGAUCCUCAUUUUGGUCAACCAGCUGUGCGCCUCAGUACUGAAAAUGGCACAGAAAAGUAAGCUUAGCUCGCUGGGUUUACUUAUUUAUUUAGUCAUUUGUUUAUUUAUCUAUCUAUUUAUUUUGGUUGUGUUAAGAACCCUUCCGAACUUGUUAUCUGGUUGAGAUGAUUAAUCAACAAGUGAAAUAAUGGUAUUUUUGAGAAAAAAAAAAGAAGCUUAUAUUAAACAGUCGUGGUUUCAUUUAAAUGGCCCAAAGAGAGUAUUUCUCUGGCUACAGCAGUUUCAUAUGAAAUGGCUCAACAGGAGUUGAAACUGUAAAUAUAUGAAUGCAAGCUCAACAAGUCUAAAACCACAGCCCGUGUGUUGUGCGGGGUCAAAGAGAAAGCUGUCGACCAUUUAUUCACAUGAUGUGUCUUCUCGAGAUUUUUACUGAUGACGACCUUAGAGUAUGCUCAGUCUAGAGAUUGAGGGGAUGACGUGAGAUCGGUCAAGGAUAGAUGGAUGACGAGAAUUGGAACGCAGUCGUCGGGUACUACGAUAUCUGGAUUGGUAGCCUGCUGGCGGGUAUAAUUUGGAAGGUCAGAAACGGCAUGAUCUUUAGGAAGACCAAACCGGACCCCUUUUUUGUAGCUUACAAGAUAUAGCAGCUGACGAAUCUUUUGAAACAAUUUCUAUCAGGUAAUCAACGACACGUUUGUAGUUAGUCGGUUUUUGUUUUGCUUUUUUUUUUUUUUUCGACCCCUCCGAGGCCUAUGUUGCCUCAACCCUGUAGCUUAGUUCAUCUUUUCAAUGAAUGAAACGAGUAGCGUGCUACCUAUUUCUAAAAAAAAAUAAAAAAAAAAGAAGUCUAAACCACCUCUAUACAUCAAAACAUAUAACCUUAUGGAAAAUACUUUGCUUAUAAAUAAAUCUCACAAUAUUUUACAAACUAUACAAUGCAGUGGUCGGGCUUCAAUCUUAAACUAUAAAUCAUGCUUUUCUUCUUGUAAUUUACAAUUUUUCACCAAUUAAAUGCCGUCACCUAUGCUAGUGUAUAAAAUAUUGUAAAAUUUAUUUAUAAAUAUAACAUUACUCGAGGUGCAGUACUCUAUCAAACACAGAAUAAAGAAUAAUGCUAAGAAAUUAAUACUUGGUUUGAUCAAAUAGUCAUCAUAAUCUUAGUUAUAACAAGCAAGAUAAAACUUUAAAAAUAGAUCAUGAUGGAUGGAAAAACUUCAAUUCGAAAAAGACUUGUAUUUCUACAGAGAUUAUCAUGAACAAUCCUUAGAUCAUCCCUUUACCUUAGAAUUGAGAACUACAUUAAUUUUGCGUUUGGUUUUAGUUGCAAACAAAGAAUGUACGAGUUUAAUCCCUAGAUUCUCAUGAAAGAAAGCAUUUCGGUUGUAUUUUAAAAAACAGAAAUUUUUUUUCUUAAAAUCUUAUUCUUUAUUUACUUUCGAGAUUAAUUUCGUAUAUGUCCCUAUAAAUAUAGUAAAUAACAAAUAUAUUCCUACAAACUUCAAUUUUCAUAUUGUCUCUACAAGAGUUCUAAUGCUUACAAAUAUUCCUGCAGUUAGAAAUCGUCAAAAAAAUUUAGUUAAACAUAGAUUAAUGACUUAAUCUUAAUUAAUUUUUAAUAUUUUUAUCACUUUUAUAUUAUACUAUUAUGAUUUUUGAAAGAACAUAUUUAUAAUGACAAAAUUAAAAAAUAACAAAUCAGAAGAAUAUAUUUAAAAAUAUAAAAACUUCCAUAAAAAUAACAUGUAAAAAUUAAACUUUGUUGGAAUAUAUUUAUCAUUCACUAUAUUUGCAGGGACUAUGAAAUUAACCCUUACUUUUAAUUAUGGUUAAGUUCCACUCUUGAACCAUAAUCCACCAUAACCCAUAAAUUAAAUGUUUCAAAUUAGAAUUCCUUCAUUUAUUUUUAUUUUUAUUUUUUACUUUUUUGUUGCCUCCACAAUCCGCAGGGAUAGAUAAUGGAAUGGCUGGGAUCAAACUAUAGAUUCAAAAGUGGCCAGUUGUCCGUUUGGCAUCAUCCUACCAAUUAGCAACUUAUUACUAAGGCAAACAUCCAAAAGUAGCUUCGUCCCCCCCCCUCCCCUCGUACUAGUUAUGGCCGCUAUAAACAAACAGCUACUAGGAAACAAAGGAAACGAAAAGAAAAGAGAGAAGGGGGGGGGGGGGGGGAGGUGAAUUUGCCAUCAUAUGCAAUCAUGGGCGUCGAAUUUCAACGCAUCGCGAUCCCUAAACUCGAGAACUGCGCUGCAACGCUUCCAAAGAAAAAGUUAGGCGAGUUGGAAUCCACCAGAGCAAAAUAUAUCCGUAAGAGAGAGAGAGGAGGAGAGAAGAGAGAGAGAGAGAGAGAGAGAGGGAGCGAGAGUACAAAAAUCGGCUUCACUGCUCCCAAAAGCUUUUUGCUGCAGCUCUGGCUACCACUGCGUCGAAGCCUCCCCACAUCACACAAUUUUCACCAGCACACUACUGUAGCCAUGGACCACCUCAACCCCCUUCUUCAAAGUCUACGCAUAUAUAUACGCCAUCGUCCUCCUCUACUCUCUCUCUCUCUCUCUCUCUCUCUCUCUCUCUCUCUCUCUGUCUCUCUCUGCUCCACGUGUCGGGGAGGGAAAGAAGGAAAGAGACGUGAGAUGACAGGAUAAGAAAGAAUCGUUCAGCAGCCAGCGUUGAUGCAGGUGAAGAUCUGGUGCACAGCGGCUGCCACCUCGUCGGCGGAGCCGAGCCUGCAGUCCUCUUCCAUCUGCAUUUGGAUUAGCUUCCACUAAUUAGCGUCCGGGGAUUACGUUUGUACGGACUAUUCGGAUGGAUUAUCCGUGGCGCAUUGCCUACAAUGAAUGCUAUGCGCUACGCGCGGAGUAACUCUGCGGUAGCAAUUCCAUGGUCGGCAGGUGCAAUCCCGCGGCCAUCACAUGGAUGUAGAUUUUAUCUUGUUUCAGGAGUAUCCUCCAGAGUCAUGCAUAAAAAUAGAAAAGUCGAGGAAGAGAGAGAGAGAGAGAGAGAGAGAGAGAGAGAGAGAGAGCAAUGAAGAUGAGGGUGAAAGACCUUGAGGUUGAGGGAGUAGAGGACGGAGGAUUCGUCGAGGGAGGCGAUGUUGAGGUGCAGGACGGAGAGGCGGAGCUCCUCCACGGCGGCGAUGGCCCUCGCCAACUGCCCCGCCCGCCGCGGCCCAGCCACCUUCAGGCUCACGUGCCCUUGCACCACCUUCGCCUCCACGUCCACCCCAAACACCGCCGCCGCCAUUUUCUCCUCCCCCUCCUGCUGUAGCCGCCGCCGCUGCUGCUGCGAGUAGGUCGUAUACUGCGGCGAGAAGAAGAACCCAUCGAGCACGGCGCCUUCCUGGGUUGGGUCGUGAGCCUCGUCGGAUGCGGUGCACCGGAAAGAGCUCGCGGCCGAGGUACGGAUCCGCUUCUGGGCUCGGAGUGAGAGGAGGAGCUGCUCCAGCUCUUUCACGAAGUCGAUGGCCCCACCAAUAAUGGAGGCCUGGUCCCCCUGCGCGUAACACGGGAAUCUUCAGAUCACAGCCGUUGGAUAGGAGAGAUUGGACGGCUGCCAUUUCGAGCGCCUAUGAAAUUUGAAUAUGAGUGAGGGCUGGAACGUACGUACCCGUUGGACGAAGGAAGGCGGGAUGAGAGAGCGCAGGGCGGCGAGGUGGUCGUUCAUGAGACGGCGGCGGUUGCGCUCCACCGCAAUGUGGGUCAACCGCUGGGUCUCCACCUCCUCCGGCUUCUUCGCAGACCCCGAAGCCCGCGCCCUCUUCCUCUUCUUCUUGGCCCGCGGCGCUGCCGCCGUCGCCAUAAUUAUUUCCACUUUUUUCUCGUUAUGGUCGUGGCCGAGCCUUCUGACAUCGGAUUGCGACUCCGACGCGUGGGAGAUGCAGCUCUCGAGCUGCUCCACCGGCACGGGGGCUGCGGCGGCAGAAAAGACAUCAAUCUCAGCCGUCCGAUCCCGCUUGCCGCAGUUGCUUUGUAGUUGGAGGAGCUGGAAUUGGGAUUCGGAAGGAUAGGAGGGUAAGAGAGAUUGGGAAUGGAGCCGUUCUUCUUCUUCUUCUUCUUCUUCUUCUUCUUCUUCUUCUUCUUCUUCAUCCUCCCCCGCUGUCUCUACUCCCAUUGCUCCUCGGAGUAGCAACUGGAGGAAAGGAGUUUGGCGAUGAUGAUGAUGAUGACGAUGAUGAUGGGACGAGAUCAGGCUUAAGUAGCUCAUCUCCACCGCAGAGUUACUGUUCGCCACCCCUGUCUCCAAGCACUCCGAGUUCAUCUCCUCUCCGCCCAACUGCUUUAUUUUCCAAGUAAAAUGGGAGAGAUUAGCAAGUGCGUUCUCUUUUAAAAAUCGAAACUUUACACAGGGGGGUUAUCGCGAAACAGGCAAAUGACGCGGACCCAUUAACGGUCAAGGAAAUUGAAUGGAAACUUUUCCGACCCGAAAAAGGAAGCCACGGACAAAGAAAGGAGGGCAAAAUAAUCCCACCUCUAUCCUCUUCCUUCUAAUGCAGCUGCAUUGAAUGAAAUGUCCAUAAAGGGGAACCGGUACCCACCUUUCUUCCAUCCACAAAAAGGAGGUUUGUGGGGGGUUGGGGUGUGGGGGAAAGGGGUAUUCAGAUGAUGCGCAAGAGAGAAAUUAAACAGGAAAGGGGUGGGGUAUUUAAGGACACUUACGAAGGGAUUAAUGGGCCCUUGAAGCCUCUCCAUAGGAGCAGCAGCACCAAACAGAGGAAGCAGUGCCGGGAAUUGACAACUCCCACUCGCAGCAGUCUGUGUGCAAGUAGCACCCCACCCCCCCACCCCCCUUCUGACUCUCUGCUUCUUCCUUAAACAAUCCCCCAACCACCACUUCUCUUCAUGAAUCGAACCGAAAGGUGCUCCUUUAAUUCCAUCCUCGACGCACCCAGCCGCAGCAUUAAAUGCAGAGGCAGAAACGCGAGACAACACAAGGAACAAAGCCCACAAUAAUCAUUACUCUCUUGCUUCCUCUGUUUCAAAGGGCUAGUGGUCCGAAGAGAAAGGAGCGAGUGCGACUACGGAGGAGAGCUGGGGACGGACUAGGGAGGGGAAUAAAACAAAGGAGAUGGAAUGAGAGGGAAUGGAAGAGAGAAGAAGAGAGAGGAGCGGUCCUGCAGAACAAUAUAUGGUAGAAGGGUUGUGGGUGAGAAAAGAUGUGGGGGCGGCGAGUAAAAAAGCCUCCUCAUGCAGGGAUGAUGAUAAAUAGUAAACUAAUACACGGUAAUAAACCAUGAGGUAAUUGAGUAGUGACAAAAGGCAAUUGUGGGGAUUCUGACAGCGGAAGCAUCUCCCAAAAAUAUUAUUUUAUAUACAACGAAUUCAUAUAAAAUAUUUUAAUUAAUUUGCACAAAUAAUUUAUAUAUACCACAUUAAGCUGUUGAAAAAAAUAAUAAAUAAAUAAUAAAAAUAUACAAAAUUUAUCUUAAUACAAACUAUUUUGAAUAUACUUAUUCAAUUUUUCAAUAUUAAAAUCUUAACGCACCUCGUUUGGUUAGGGAAUAAGAGUGGGAUAUCUAUCUGAUUCCUUAUUAACGAAUUAUUUCGGAAUAAUCCUAAGCAGGGACGAAGCCAGAAAUUAAAAUUUGGGGGGGCCAAGAUUUAGAGUUGAUAGGAAAAAAAUUCAACCUCAGAUAAUAAGAAAAAAAAAAUUGUCAGGUUUACUGAUUAGUUAUUACUAGCAACAAUAAUGAUAAUAUACUCAAAGAAGAAUAAAACUGUAAAAGUUGAAGAAAAAGGAUCAAGAAAUUUGAAAAAAUAAAAUUAAGACACAAAUUUUAUUAAAAAAAUUAAUUUGGCCCGCUACAAUUAAAAUUUAUAAUAUUUUAAUUUUUAUUACAAAAAUUUUUUAUGUAAUUUUAAAAAAGUUAGAGAAGGCCGUGAACCACUGUGGGCCCCUCAAUAGCUCCGCCCCUGCGGUUAAGGGGUGGGAUAGCUCCCACUCUUUGUGUGAAAAUAUGGGUGGUGUUCACACCCCUAUUUAAUUCUUUUAAAAAUUUAAAUUUUAAAAAUUUAUAAUAUAAAGAGUAAUAUUAUUUUUUUUCUAUUUAGCGCUAAUUAUUUUUCUUAUUUCAUUUAUCUAUCAAAUGUUAUUUUUCUUAUUUUCGAAAACAACUCAAUUUUUAUCCAAAUUCAAAAUUGAUAUAUUUCAGACUUAUAUCUAAACUUAUACUUAUCUUCGAAAUAAACAGUUUUUGUUUGAUAUGCAAUAAACAAAAUAC